This 328-nucleotide ribosomal RNA is filed under the name uncultured bacterium. RNAcentral describes it as "bacterial SSU rRNA". It matches the Rfam family "Bacterial small subunit ribosomal RNA", at positions 198 to 507 of the family's 1533-position model. The record is from RNAcentral.
AGGGGAAAGCGGGGGAUCGUAAGACCUCGCGUUAUACGAGCGGCCGAUGUCGGAUUAGCUAGUUGGUGGGGUAAAGGCCUACCAAGGCGACGAUCCGUAGCGGGUCUGAGAGGAUGAUCCGCCACACUGGGACUGAGACACGGCCCAGACUCCUACGGGAGGCAGCAGUGGGGAAUUUUGGACAAUGGGCGCAAGCCUGAUCCAGCCAUGCCGCGUGAGUGAAGAAGGCCUUCGGGUUGUAAAGCUCUUUCAGACGGAAAGAAAUCGCGCGCUCUAACAUAGCGUGUGGAUGACGGUACCGUAAGAAGAAGCACCGGCUAACUACGUG